RNAcentral lists this ribosomal RNA (468 nucleotides) under uncultured bacterium. RNAcentral's name for it is "partial 16S ribosomal RNA". It matches the Rfam family "Bacterial small subunit ribosomal RNA", at positions 28 to 507 of the family's 1533-position model. The record is from RNAcentral.
GACGAACGCUGGCGGCGUGCUUAACACAUGCAAGUCGAACGGAAAGGCCCUGCUUUUGUGGGGUGCUCGAGUGGCGAACGGGUGAGUAACACGUGAGUAACCUGCCCUUGACUUUGGGAUAACUUCAGGAAACUGGGGCUAAUACCGGAUAGGAGCUCCUGCUGCAUGGUGGGGGUUGGAAAGUUUCGGCGGUUGGGGAUGGACUCGCGGCUUAUCAGCUUGUUGGUGGGGUAGUGGCUUACCAAGGCUUUGACGGGUAGCCGGCCUGAGAGGGUGACCGGCCACAUUGGGACUGAGAUACGGCCCAGACUCCUACGGGAGGCAGCAGUGGGGAGUAUUGCACAAUGGGCGGAAGCCUGAUGCAGCAACGCCGCGUGCGGGAUGACGGCCUUCGGGUUGUAAACCGCUUUCGACUGUGACGAAGCGUGAGUGACGGUAAUGGGUAAAGAAGCACCGGCUAACUACGUG